Molecule: non-coding RNA, 84 nt
Organism: Bombyx mori (domestic silkworm)
Lineage: Eukaryota; Metazoa; Arthropoda; Insecta; Lepidoptera; Bombycidae
Source: Rfam
UUAACUCAAAUUUGUAUGGAGUUGGAACGUUUACCUAAGGUUACCGCUAGGGGCGCUGUUCUAACUCCAUACAAAUUUGAGUUA